RNAcentral lists this long non-coding RNA (605 nucleotides) under Elaeis guineensis (African oil palm). RNAcentral describes it as "long non-coding RNA (EGUI_LNC009942)". Lineage: Eukaryota; Viridiplantae; Streptophyta; Magnoliopsida; Arecales; Arecaceae. The record is from RNAcentral.
AGACAAUUAUAAGGGAAUGUGGCAUGUAAGUUAAUACUAUGUAUUGUCCACUACCCACGAUUGUAUCGUGGAUCCUAAUUCUCUAUAGUGGCUACCGAUAGAUAAGAUAACAUACUACUUUCCCUUUCCAUAAAAAGGGGUACAAAGCAUCCUUUGGUGAGCUCUUUGGGACUCUCAAGAACUAGAAACACUCACUCAUUCUCUCCCUCUUGCUAUUUCCAAAGCUUCGGCUAACUUAAGUAUCAAAGGAUCCUCUAUUAGAGAAUUUUCAAUAAUUGAACUUCUUUUUUAAGAUCUGGAUGCCAUCAUUCAUUCUCGAAUAUCCAUUAACCAUCGAGCCUUGGAUUAAACUUGCACUAACCACAGCCAUUCUCUUCUCAUAUUGGAGUCUUAUGGCAACACUAAGCAUGAUCUUUUUGAGGAAGAACAAAAUAUAUCAUAAUAUGAGUUAAUUGCAAUGGACAUUAGAAUAUAGGUGAUCAAUAAUUUAGGUUGAAGAAGUUGCAUAAGAUUAACAAAAGAAAUUAUGUGAAGAUGUUUAAUGCACAAAAAUCGAUAAAUACAUUUGAAAACCUAUAACAACAUAAGAUCACAUCUAAAAGGAC